AGUGAACGCUGGCGGUAGGCCUAACACAUGCAGGUCGAACGGCAGCACAGUAAGAGCUUGCUCUUACGGGUGGCGAGUGGCGGACGGGUGAGGAAUACAUCGGAAUCUACUUUUUCGUGGGGGAUAACGUAGGGAAACUUACGCUAAUACCGCAUACGACCUACGGGUGAAAGUAGGGGAUCUUCGGACCUUGCGCGAUUGAAUGAGCCGAUGUCGGAUUAGCUAGUUGGCGGGGUAAAGGCCCACCAAGGCGACGAUCCGUAGCUGGUCUGAGAGGAUGAUCAGCCACACUGGAACUGAGACACGGUCCAGACUCCUACGGGAGGCAGCAGUGGGGAAUAUUGGACAAUGGGCGCAAGCCUGAUCCAGCCAUACCGCGUGGGUGAAGAAGGCCUUCGGGUUGUAAAGCCCUUUUGUUGGGAAAGAAAAGCAGCAGGUUAAUACCCCGCUGUUCUGACGGUACCCAAAGAAUAAGCACCGGCUAACUUCGUG
RNAcentral lists this ribosomal RNA (492 nucleotides) under uncultured bacterium. RNAcentral describes it as "partial 16S ribosomal RNA". It matches the Rfam family "Bacterial small subunit ribosomal RNA", at positions 29 to 507 of the family's 1533-position model. The record is from RNAcentral.